CCUACGGGAGGCAGCAGUGGGGGAUAUUGCACAAUGGGGGAAACCCUGAUGCAGCGACGCCGCGUGGGUGAAGAAGGAUUUCGGUAUGUAAAGCCCUAUCAGCAGGGAAGAAAGAAGACGGUACCUGACUAAGAAGCCCCGGCUAACUACGUGCCAGCAGCCGCGGUAAUACGUAGGGGGCGAGCGUUAUCCGGAUUCACUGGGUGUAAAGGGAGCGUAGACGGCCGUGCAAGCCAGGAGUGAAAGCCCGGGGCCCAACCCCGGGACUGCUCUUGGAACUGUGCGGCUGGAGUGCGGGAGGGGCAGGCGGAAGUCCUGGUGUAGCGGUGAAAUGCGUAGAUAUCAGGAGGAACACCGGCGGCGAAGGCGGCCUGCUGGACCGCGACUGACGUUGAGGCUCGAAAGCGUGGGGAGCGAACAGGAUUAGAUACCCUUGUAGUC
RNAcentral lists this ribosomal RNA (441 nucleotides) under uncultured bacterium. RNAcentral's name for it is "partial 16S ribosomal RNA". It matches the Rfam family "Bacterial small subunit ribosomal RNA", at positions 338 to 795 of the family's 1533-position model. The record is from RNAcentral.